RNAcentral lists this non-coding RNA (31 nucleotides) under Rattus norvegicus (Norway rat). The record is from RNAcentral. Lineage: Eukaryota; Metazoa; Chordata; Mammalia; Rodentia; Muridae.
UGUCUAAGGACUUUGAAUAUUUCUUUUAAGU